GUUCACUCCAGUUGCAUUUAUACUAAAAUUGGAAUGAUACAGAGAAGAUUAGCAUGGCCCCUGUGUAAGGAUGACACACAAAUUCAUGGAGUGUUCCAUAUAUUU
Molecule: small nuclear RNA, 105 nt
Organism: Pipistrellus kuhlii (Kuhl's pipistrelle)
Lineage: Eukaryota; Metazoa; Chordata; Mammalia; Chiroptera; Vespertilionidae
Source: RefSeq, a predicted model, not a curated record